RNAcentral lists this ribosomal RNA (263 nucleotides) under uncultured archaeon. RNAcentral describes it as "partial 16S ribosomal RNA". It matches the Rfam family "Archaeal small subunit ribosomal RNA", at positions 748 to 1008 of the family's 1478-position model. The record is from RNAcentral.
AGGGUGUAAAACGCUGCAGACUUGGUGUUGGAGGCCCGUUUGGGGGCAUUCAGUGCCGGAGAGAAGUUGUUAAGUCUGCUACGUUGGGGAGUACGUCCGCAAGGAUGAAACUUAAAGGAAUUGGCGGGGGAGCACCGCAACGGGAGGAGCGUGCGGUUUAAUUGGAUUCAACACCGUAAACUCACCAGGGAAGACUGUUACAUGAAGGCCGAGAUGAAGACUCUGCUAGAUUUUCAGAGAGGAGGUGCAUGGCGUCAGUGACU